AGUUGUUGCAGUUAAAAAGCUCGUAGUUGGAUUUCUGUUAAUAAUUUAUAUAAAAUAUUUUGAUGAAUAUUUAUAUAAUAUUAACAUAAUUCAUAUUACUAUAUAUUUUAGUAUAUGAAAUUUUACUUUGAGAAAAUUAGAGUGCUUAAAGCAGGCAUAUGCCUUGAAUACUCCAGCAUGGAAUAAUAUUAAAGAUUUUUAUCUUUCUUAUUGGUUCUAAGAUAAGAAUAAUGAUUAAUAGGGACAGUUGGGGGCAUUUGUAUUUAACAGUCAGAGGUGAAAUUCUUAGAUUUGUUAAAGACAAACUAGUGCGAAAGCAUUUGCCAAGGAUGUUUUCAUUAAUCAAGAACGAAAGUUAGGGGAUCGAAGACGAUCAGAUACCGUCGUAGUCUUAACCAUAAACUAUGCCAACUAGAGAUUGGAGGUUGUUCCUUACUCCUUCA
This 443-nucleotide ribosomal RNA is filed under the name Cryptosporidium parvum. Its description in RNAcentral is "SSU rRNA". It matches the Rfam family "Eukaryotic small subunit ribosomal RNA", at positions 608 to 1082 of the family's 1831-position model. Lineage: Eukaryota; Apicomplexa; Conoidasida; Eucoccidiorida; Cryptosporidiidae. The record is from RNAcentral.